UUGAACUUCUCAGGAACAAACA
RNAcentral lists this microRNA (22 nucleotides) under Hyalella azteca. RNAcentral describes it as "miR-1482". The record is from RNAcentral. Lineage: Eukaryota; Metazoa; Arthropoda; Malacostraca; Amphipoda; Hyalellidae.